This 253-nucleotide ribosomal RNA is filed under the name uncultured bacterium. RNAcentral's name for it is "partial 16S ribosomal RNA". It matches the Rfam family "Bacterial small subunit ribosomal RNA", at positions 524 to 776 of the family's 1533-position model. The record is from RNAcentral.
UACGUAGGGUGCAAGCGUUACUCGGAAUUACUGGGCGUAAAGCGUGCGCAGGCGGUUGGGCAAGACCGAUGUGAAAGCCCCGGGCUUAACCUGGGAAUGGCAUUGGUGACUGCACGGCUAGAGUGUGUCAGAGGGGGGUAGAAUUCCACGUGUAGCAGUGAAAUGCGUAGAGAUGUGGAGGAAUACCGAUGGCGAAGGCAGCCCCCUGGGAUAACACUGACGCUCAUGCACGAAAGCGUGGGGAGCAAACAGG